CUCAAUGGUGGGUUGUGUAGGGCACUCGAAAGAGUGACCGGUUCCUUGUUCCGGUAAGCCUAACCCUACACAACUCGCCACCAAU
RNAcentral lists this non-coding RNA (85 nucleotides) under Candidatus Contendobacter odensis Run_B_J11. Lineage: Bacteria; Pseudomonadati; Pseudomonadota; Gammaproteobacteria; Candidatus Competibacteraceae. The record is from RNAcentral.